Cygnus olor (mute swan) is the source of this 399-nucleotide long non-coding RNA. RefSeq lists it as uncharacterized. The transcript has 3 exons. Lineage: Eukaryota; Metazoa; Chordata; Aves; Anseriformes; Anatidae. The record is from RefSeq and is a predicted model, not a curated record.
CGCUCGCUCCUCGCCUGAGGGGAGAGAAGCGGGCAGUUAGCCGAGCGGCUUGGCCCCUCGCCUCGCCUCGCCCCGCCGCCUCUCACCGUGCCGCCGGCCCACGACGCCGUCGAUGAAGCAGGAGCUGGAAUGAUUGCUGCUUCAUCCUGUUUCUUCAUAGCACUUUUUGCUGCUGCUGCUGUCAUUUUACAUGGUAAAACGAGCUCUGCAGCAACUGCUGACUUUGAAGAGAGCUCUGCACGGUGUGGUUGUGAGACAACACCUUUCUCAAACCACAGAACUGCCCUGUUAACUGCCCGAGGACCUGGGUGCUGUGUAAAAGCAUCAUAAACUUUGCCUAUGACCAAGUUCAGCCUUAGUGAUGACGUUGAGCUGCUUUUUCAUACCUGUUUCUCGGAU